GAUGAACGCUGGCGGCGUGCCUAAUACAUGCAAGUCGAGCGAACAGACGAGGAGCUUGCUCCUCUGACGUUAGCGGCGGACGGGUGAGUAACACGUGGAUAACCUACCUAUAAGACUGGGAUAACUUCGGGAAACCGGAGCUAAUACCGGAUAAUAUAUUGAACCGCAUGGUUCAAUAGUGAAAGACGGUUUUGCUGUCACUUAUAGAUGGAUCCGCGCCGCAUUAGCUAGUUGGUAAGGUAACGGCUUACCAAGGCAACGAUGCGUAGCCGACCUGAGAGGGUGAUCGGCCACACGGGAACUGAGACACGGUCCAGACUCCUACGGGAGGCAGCAGUAGGGAAUCUUCCGCAAUGGGAGAAAGCCUGACGGAGCAACGCCGCGUGAGUGAUGAAGGUCUUCGGAUCGUAAAACUCUGUUAUUAGGGAAGAACAAAUGUGUAAGUAACUAUGCACGUCUUGACGGUACCUAAUCAGAAAGCCACGGCUAACUACGUG
This 497-nucleotide ribosomal RNA is filed under the name uncultured bacterium. RNAcentral describes it as "partial 16S ribosomal RNA". It matches the Rfam family "Bacterial small subunit ribosomal RNA", at positions 28 to 507 of the family's 1533-position model. The record is from RNAcentral.